GGCCAGGGUAACGUCAGGCCGCUCUGCUGUCUCGCUGAGCUCCCAGGAUGACUGUGCCAGAUGCGGCUUAGUUAGAAAUGUACCGGGCUGGAGCCUCCUCAUCCCUUCCCUGUUCUAGGAGGUUGGCCCCUACCUCCUGCGAUGGCCCCUGAGGCAGGCUCUUCCCCCAGCAAAUACCCCCAUCCAGGCAUCUGCCAUGACUCUACAGGAAGAUUCCUGGCUCCAACUGACCUUCGAAGGAGGUGCUGGGAUACAGGGUGGCAAAAAAGCCAUGAAGCUGCAGGUUCCAAUUCCUCAUCCCACCUCUGGCACUAAUU
This 317-nucleotide long non-coding RNA is filed under the name Bos taurus (domestic cattle). Its description in RNAcentral is "long non-coding RNA NONBTAT026235". Lineage: Eukaryota; Metazoa; Chordata; Mammalia; Artiodactyla; Bovidae. The record is from RNAcentral.